GAUGUUCCAUGGGAGGACAUUCUUUAAGAAGGUGGCAGCCCUGGAAAAGUCCUGUAGAUGAGAGUCUGGAAUGGAGGUGCAAGAACGGGACAGUAACAGUCGUUGGCGGAGCAAAGAAAUUGGGCUGGAUCAGCAUUGAGAGAUUUAACCCGUUGAUUUUAUGUUUCUUACUUGAAACACAUUACUUAAGCCUUUAUUUCGUCGAAUUAUUUCAGCCUGGAAAAGAUGCAACACAUUUUUUAUAUCACCACCAGUAUUAUAGACGGAAACAAAGUUUCUG
Non-coding RNA from Pelobates cultripes (western spadefoot toad), 280 nucleotides. Lineage: Eukaryota; Metazoa; Chordata; Amphibia; Anura; Pelobatidae. The record is from the annotation of a GenBank genome assembly.